GAGCAUCAAGAAACCUUUAGUCUCUGCAAAUAUACAUACACACACAAUUACAUUCCAAGGAAGAAGACUUAUCAAACUCAUGGCGAUGGGCUCCAAGAAGAUUCAGGUCUUCCUCACGGUUGCGCUGCUGAUGGCUCUCCUCGCCACAAUUGCGUCAGCGGGCAGGGGCAGUUUCAAGCUAGAGCCGGAAGCUAAAGCUCGAUGCAGCAGAGUAGGAGCCUGUUCGGCUAGCUUGUGCACGUCUACCUGCGACAAGCAUUCUUCAGGGUCAUGCACUAUCAAAGGCCAGUUCGUCUACUGCUGCUGUGACCCAGUACCGAUCGCCGACAGCCCUGAUGUUCAGCCGCCGCUUCUUCAUUGAUGCGUUGCCUAGCUUUUUCCUUGACGCGUAUGGUUGAGCAACUAUUGAUUAGUGGUUAGGCAGUUGCUGAGUAGUGGCAUCUAAUACAAGUCGUGGAUCGGAGUAUUGUGUGUUUUCGUACGUUUCUGAACCGGUGCGAUUUGUAUUUGGUGGUUUUAUUUUGAACAAGAGGAAAUGCAAGUCAUUCAGUUUUGUUUGAGAAGUUUCGUACCUGACCUAACUUAUGGC
Molecule: long non-coding RNA, 589 nt
Filed under: Sorghum bicolor (sorghum)
Lineage: Eukaryota; Viridiplantae; Streptophyta; Magnoliopsida; Poales; Poaceae
Description: long non-coding RNA (SBIC_LNC007802)
Source: RNAcentral